GUGGGGAAUCUUGCGCAAUGGCCGAAAGGCUGACGCAGCGACGCCGCGUGUGGGAGGAAGCUCUUCGGGGUGUAAACCACUGUUGCCCGGGACGAACACACCUAUUCGUAGGUGCUGACGGUACCGGGUGAGGAAGCACCGGCUAACUCUGUGCCAGCAGCCGCGGUAAUACAGAGGGUGCGAGCGUUGUCCGGAAUCACUGGGCGUAAAGGGCGCGUAGGUGGUGGCUUAAGCGUGCGGUGAAAGCUCGGAGCUCAACUCCGAGUCGGCCGUGCGAACUGGGCUCACUGGAGCAUAGUAGAGGCAGGUGGAAUUCCGGGUGUAGCGGUGGAAUGCGUAGAGAUCCGGAAGAACACCGGUGGCGAAGGCGGCCUGCUGGGCUAUGGCUGACACUGAGGCGCGACAGCGUGGGGAGCAAACAGGAUUAGAAACCCUAGUAGUCC
This 443-nucleotide ribosomal RNA is filed under the name uncultured bacterium. RNAcentral describes it as "bacterial SSU rRNA". It matches the Rfam family "Bacterial small subunit ribosomal RNA", at positions 354 to 796 of the family's 1533-position model. The record is from RNAcentral.